GCAGCAGCCCCACAGUGAUACAAGAUCUUUGGUGCAGCACUUAAGAAGAAAACAAGCUUAUCCUAGUUUUCCUCUCCACUUUCCCUAGUAGCUUCCAAAUACAUUUUCUUGCUUACAGCCUUUUGGACAUGGCAGCCAAGCUGCACAUUCCAUUUCUACUAGGUUCAGUGGAGUAAAAAGAACUUCCCUUCCUACCCACAUCUUUACCAAGGCUCCAGCAUCAGGAGCAGGUCUCUGAAAACUGCACCUUAGUUAUCAGAACCUGCAGCAAGGCAUUUGUACAUGCUCUGCACAGAAGCUUUUUUAGUUUACAAGCAACAAAAUGACAUAGAGAGGUAGGACUUAAAAGGUAGAUCUCUAAUGACGGAUCCAGCUGAGUACUAAAAGGCAGUAAAGCAUCUGAGACCUAUUAGAUGACAUACUGAAUUUCCUAAUGAGACCCUAUAGAUACUCAAACCUCUUGAAUAGUUGCAAUGGGAACAGAGAUCCUGGCCUUGUAAGGCAAGGAAAUGGUUAACCCAUUUUCCCUGAGAAAGCCACACCUGUGUGUCCCUAAACCAGACAGGCUCAAUGAAGGAAGGAAAUGAGCUCCUCCUCUUCCUCCUCUAUAAGAAGACAGAGAAGAAAGUCAUUCCUGUUUAGUCCACACAGAAAUCAAGACCUGGAGGAAGGUCAGACUCUACUGCUCUGGGAACCUGGCUAAGCUGGCACCAAGCGCUGCGAGAGGUUACUUACCACAUAGAAGUCAAAGGGAAUGUGUGGCACGAAGGGCCUGAAUCUAAAAGGAAAAAGUGGGAGAAAAUGGAGGAACCUAGGUUGGAGGAAAAUCAGAACUGCCCUUGACUGGGUCAGACCACAGGCCAGGUCCAAGCUGCGCAGCCUCCCGUCAGAGGGGCAGAGAGCGGAGCUGGAAGGGAGCGCGAGCUGCAUCUGACCAGCGUUUUUACCGCUGCUCCCUCGCAUGCAGCCUUCAGCACUGGAGAUCUAGGAAGCUUCGCUUCUCACAGAGGUUUAGGGCAGGAACAAGCUAGAGGCUGUCGGCCCCGCGGGGCCCCCCACAGCAGCCCCUCAAAGGGAGGC
Alligator sinensis (Chinese alligator) is the source of this 1080-nucleotide long non-coding RNA. RefSeq lists it as uncharacterized. The record is from RefSeq and is a predicted model, not a curated record. The transcript is spliced from 3 exons. NCBI's taxonomy places the organism in Eukaryota, Metazoa, Chordata, Crocodylia, Alligatoridae.